ACACACACUCACAAACACACACUCCAGACACACAAGGCAUGCCUGAGCGGUCCGCUUGCAGGAGGAUGGCAAGGAACUCAUCCAUGUCUGUACUGAACUUCCCUGAUAGUGGGGGAGAGGUGUUGCAACACACACAUGUACACGCACACACGCACACACACACACACACACACACACACACACACACACACACACAUAAACACACACCUCUCUCCAAUGCCCUAUGUGUCUGUAAGGGGAGGGGGAGGGUAGGGGCGUCUGGUUGUCGUGACGAUGUUGGUUUAGGUAAAUGACAACAUGGGAGUCGGGUAGAGCAGGAAGAGCUCUGAUUGGCUCGCCGCUGCCCAUGUGGGGGGUAGAGGGGCUGUGGCCUCUUUCCAGGGGGGUUAAGUUGGGUGGGAGGGCAUGCAGGCAAUUAUCCUUCCAGCCAUAGCUACACACACACACACACACACACACACACACACACACACACACAGUGUACUCAGGCUUGUGUGUGUCAACACACUCAUUCACUAGUGAAUAACAUGCCGCGCUAUCGGCUGGACUGUAGAGCCAAAAAAACCUUUAUCGCCCCCCAGAGGUGGGCUUUAGGUAUUAAACAACCUCAGAUGCUCCUAAAGGUCUUUCUUUUUAAAGGGGUGGGGGGGAGAGGGGGUAGGGUUAGGGGUGGGGGUUGUACUCAUCUUUAUCGCUCAGUCGCUCACGGCCCACAUCCUGUGUUUUGGACCUUCAUACAUCUCAUGGCAGCGUCCUGUACAUCAGUCCUCCCGCCAGCAGGUGGCGCCGUGCUCUCUCCUGACUGCAGCCACGCUGUUAGACGCAGUAUCAGUCUUUCCCCCGGUUUCCCCUAGGAGACAAGUGGUGCGUGUCGUCGUGCCGCCUGUUACCGUAGCGAUGCGUAGGUGAUGGGAGGUAUCCGAGGGACGCCACACACACACAUCCGUGGCUCAGGGCAGAGUUGUGUGUGUGUGUGUGUGUGUGUGUGUGAGGGUUUGAGCGAUUCUCCGCAGGAGUAGUUUCUUCCCCUCUCUCCGAUUUGAUGUGUGUAGCACACAGCGCUAAGUAAAUGAUAAGGUAAUUGUGUUCUGGGGUAAGAUGUGUAAUGGAUACUUGAUUGCCCUGAGCAGAGUGAGUCUGUGGGCGGGGGGCAGGGGGCGGGGG
Clupea harengus (Atlantic herring) is the source of this 1164-nucleotide long non-coding RNA. The record is from Ensembl. Lineage: Eukaryota; Metazoa; Chordata; Actinopteri; Clupeiformes; Clupeidae.